Molecule: ribosomal RNA, 250 nt
Filed under: uncultured bacterium
Lineage: Bacteria
Description: partial 16S ribosomal RNA
Rfam family: Bacterial small subunit ribosomal RNA
Source: RNAcentral
UACGUAGGUGGCAAGCGUUGUCCGGAAUUAUUGGGCGUAAAGGAUGCGUAGGCGGUCUUUUAAGUGGGAUGUGAAAUACCUGGGCUUAACUCAGGGAUUGCAUUCCAAACUGGGAGACUAGAGUGUAGGAGAGGAAAGUGGAAUUCCCAGUGUAGCGGUGAAAUGCGUAGAGAUUGGGAGGAACACCAGUGGCGAAGGCGACUUUCUGGACUGUAACUGACGCUGAGGCAUGAAAGCGUGGGGAGCAAAC